This 735-nucleotide long non-coding RNA is filed under the name Monodelphis domestica (gray short-tailed opossum). RNAcentral describes it as "lncRNA (ENSMODG00000032173.2)". Lineage: Eukaryota; Metazoa; Chordata; Mammalia; Didelphimorphia; Didelphidae. The record is from RNAcentral.
GUUGAAUUCAGAGAGCCAUCCCUGAUACCAAAAAAGAAGUCCUGUAGUGAAGUUAGACCACCUACUUUGCCUUUGAGUUAGUGACUGCGUAUCUCUAAGCUUCCAUUUAUUCCUCGUCAAACAAAGACUGAACUACUUACUACCUUGCAGGGUUGUUGUGAGGCAAGCGCUUUCCAAAGCUCUGUCUACACAUGUGAGCUUUUGCUAUUUGAAUGUGAACCUUGGCCCCCUAAACGCGUGACCCAGGAACCGGAGCCGGGCUGCUGAUGCAUGUGCGAAUCCACGUACCCAAGCCAGGCCUCCCAGCUCGGUUCUUUCUCCUCUGAACUUCCCGUGCUGAUGGGGUCCACAGCAACCUCUGCCCUUUGACAAAGACACGCUUUACCAGAUUCUCAGUGGGACCCCUCAGGCUUCUAGCAUGUCGUCUCCGGCAUUUCGGUGAUCCCUGGCCCUUCCCAGACACACUCCACUCUUCAUAGUCCCUGCUGAGCCCCCAGCUCUCACCCUGGAGCCCCAGCCACCUCCUCGCAAAGGCUGCUCAGGCUAGAGGACACUCUGAAAGGACUUAGAAUGAGGAGACUCGUACUUGCGUCUGUUCUCUGAGAGUCCUCAGUGAUGGGGCUUGAACUCAAGAUUAGAAAGAGGAUUGUUCACCAAACUGCCAAUUUCUAUUAUGGAGAGCCUCCUUUUAGGCGCCGUAAGUAUAUAAUAAAUUCAUCGUGGAACUUUCAAAGC